GUUGGGAACUAGGUGUGGGUCUCAUUCCACGAGAUCCGUGCCGCAGCUAACGCAUUAAGUUCCCCGCCUGGGGAGUACGGCCGCAAGGCUAAAACUCAAAGGAAUUGACGGGGGCCCGCACAAGCGGCGGAGCAUGUGGAUUAAUUCGAUGCAACGCGAAGAACCUUACCAAGGCUUGACAUACACCGGAAACAUCCAGAGAUGGGUGCCCCGCAAGGUCGGUGUACAGGUGGUGCAUGGCUGUCGUCAG
This 250-nucleotide ribosomal RNA is filed under the name uncultured bacterium. RNAcentral's name for it is "partial 16S ribosomal RNA". It matches the Rfam family "Bacterial small subunit ribosomal RNA", at positions 808 to 1058 of the family's 1533-position model. The record is from RNAcentral.